AGUCACCACCAAAGACCCCUUCCAGGAUAUGACCGAGAGUGUGUUGACCUUCGAAUACGAGGACACCACACACUCACAGGCCGUGGACGAGGAGGAAAGUGUUCUGGGCCCGGGUGCCAUCACAGCCAUCGUCAUCGCAGUCGUCCUGGGGGCUUCAGUCCUCCUCGCCCUCAUCGUCAUUACACUCAGGAAGUUCACUGCUUCCUAGAGCCACUUCCUCCUCUUUCUUUCAAUCUCUCUUUCACUUCUUUGUCACUUCCAUUCAUCUAUCUUUAUUGUUUUUCCCCAUUCUCUAAAUUCUCUCCCAUUCACUCUGUUUCCCUUACACACAUAUAUUGUGAAAGUGAAACCCUCUACAACCCUGGAUGCUAUAAUGGUAUGUGGCAGGUCCCUUUUGGCCUUGAAGAGCAACUGACAAUGAAAUACCUUCAGCCUCUAGCUACUAUAAUCAUGCUGUUCUUGUUGGCCCCCAUGUCCACUAUUACGUUGUCAAUUGGAGGUUUAAGUGGGAGUUAGGAUUUGCCCCUAAGAGGACAUUAGAGACUGGCAGGUUCUUCCAGUGUAACGUCAUAGCUUUAAUAAAAUCCCUUUUACUUUACUUGUAAUGAUCUGUGUGCCGAAAUGUUUUGUCCAGCUUUGAUUUGUUCUUGCUGAUCUUUGUGGAAGUAAUUUUUUUUCUGACGGUUCUGUUGUGUGUUGCUGUAUCCUGUCUGUCUUUGUGUAUGAACGGGUGUGAUGAGUGUGUCUUUGUGAAGAUGAAUCCACCAUGUUCAUUACGUUGCUGAGUGCCUACUCCGUUUGGUUAAAAGUGAAGUGUUAUUGACAGUAGAAUAAAAAAAUGAAAUGAUUUACCAAAUGUACAACACAGAAUUCACUUGUAUGAUCAAAUGUUAUUUGGAAUGAUCUUAUCUCAUGAGAGAAUGUUUUCACAAUGCACACAAUGUGCUACCUUUCAUUGGCAAGUAGUCUUUUUUUAAUUUAAGAAACGUUUGCCAUUUUCCAUUGGAACAAACAUAUUGAUAGUGACCCAGAAUUAUAAUAUUUGAAUAUGAAAAUGCUGGCGUCGUCAAUAAAUAAACAUAAACAGGGUAUUUUUUAUUUUUUUUUAACCUGCAAAGCAAAUAACCUUGCCUAUUAAACGGCAGAAUGACUGUUGUGUUUGUGUUUUUGGGGGGGAUUGAUGGGAAGCGUUGUAUAAUAUUUAGAUUUUCUCUGUAUUACUCUUGCGUUUUACCAAUCAACUAACUAAUGCUUAUGUAAAACAAAUAUUCUUUAAGGUAAUAUCACCUGUUUUGAACUAUGGUUUAUAUUGUAUAAAUCACUUCCUACAACCAAAUAUUAGUCUUGUCAUUUAUUUCAAAUGUAUAUGGGUAAU
This 1375-nucleotide long non-coding RNA is filed under the name Oncorhynchus kisutch (coho salmon). Its description in RNAcentral is "lncRNA (ENSOKIG00005035772.1)". Lineage: Eukaryota; Metazoa; Chordata; Actinopteri; Salmoniformes; Salmonidae. The record is from RNAcentral.